CAGCUGUAAACUAUGUGCGUUAGGUGUGUCAGUGACCACGUGUCACUGAGGUGCCGAAGGGAAACCGUGAAACGCACCGCCUGGGGAGUACGGUCGCAAGGCUGAAACUUAAAGGAAUUGGCGGGGGAGCACCGCAACGGGAGGAGCGUGCGGUUCAAUUGGAUUCAACGCCGGACAACUCACCAGGAGCGACGGUUACAUGAAGGCCAGGCUGAUGACCUUGCCUGAUUUUCCGAGAGGAGGUGCAUGGCGUAGUCGUGU
This 261-nucleotide ribosomal RNA is filed under the name uncultured archaeon. RNAcentral describes it as "partial 16S ribosomal RNA". It matches the Rfam family "Archaeal small subunit ribosomal RNA", at positions 748 to 1009 of the family's 1478-position model. The record is from RNAcentral.